CCCAGGGCAUCCGGGAACUAUGCAGUGCUUUUUUCUAUUAUGACCGAUCCUAAGUAAGGGCCACCAGCUAACUGAGUCUGGCCACUGCCGGUGCAGCUUCUCUCCGAGGCUGGAAAGCAGGGACCGUCGGCCGGCAUCAGCAGAGCAGAGGAGGCGGAACUUUGUAACACAUGUUUUGAGCUGAAGGUGUAGGCACGUUCUGGCCUCCUGUCGCGCUGGAACAGGGGAACCGAAGUGAAAGGGGGUGAGGAGUCGGGGGAACUGACAGCCUGACGGACCCGGCGGCGAGAAGUGAUGACAAGGGUGUCGGAAGAGGGGAUAUGAGCCUUCAUCACCCUGUUAGAGAGACCACAUGGAGAGAUUGUGAGACAACAUGGACAGAGCAUGAAGCCUAGCUGCACCCAGGAUUCCAGAAAUCUCUACCAAGGCAUCAGCCAUAAAGGAAACCAUCCUGGCUCAACCAGAUCAACUUAGCCACCAGCUGGACAUCACUAGGUGACUCCAGUAGAUGCCAUAUGGAGCCGGAAGAUUGUCCAGUUGUCACAGAGCACCUGAUUUAAGCUCCCUGCAUCAUACAGCAAAAUCC
RNA transcript from Capra hircus (goat), 586 nucleotides. RefSeq lists it as uncharacterized. The record is from RefSeq and is a predicted model, not a curated record. The transcript has 3 exons. NCBI's taxonomy places the organism in Eukaryota, Metazoa, Chordata, Mammalia, Artiodactyla, Bovidae.